GUGAAAAGUUGGAGUUCAUCUAUACAUCUAGAUCUACAUACAUGUAAAAAAUUGGUACAUAAACCAAUUUUUCAUUGAUAGUAUAUAAAAAAUGUAAUGCUACAACAGAUUCAAGAAGUAGAGGCGUACAUUAAGUAGCUACUAAGGUUGGAGGUUUUGCAGGGUUUGAGCAUGGUACAAGGAGGCGCUUGGAGCUUUUAGAGGACUCUGUUUAGCCAAUACCGGAAUACUUGUUUAUGUCUUUUUAAAAUUUCAUUUGAAUUUUGGAUCCUUUAAUUAUUGCUUGUGGAACUAUGAUUCUGACCGAAGAAUUUUCUUGUUUCGUUUUUUAUCUUUUAUCUCUGGUUUAUGGUAAGUUGUUUCCGGAUCAGUUGUAUUAUUUUCUAGUAAAGUACUGUUUUGGAUGUA
This is a long non-coding RNA of Helianthus annuus (common sunflower), 408 nucleotides long. RefSeq lists it as uncharacterized. The transcript is spliced from 2 exons. Lineage: Eukaryota; Viridiplantae; Streptophyta; Magnoliopsida; Asterales; Asteraceae. The record is from RefSeq and is a predicted model, not a curated record.